RNAcentral lists this ribosomal RNA (387 nucleotides) under uncultured bacterium. RNAcentral's name for it is "bacterial SSU rRNA". It matches the Rfam family "Bacterial small subunit ribosomal RNA", at positions 28 to 417 of the family's 1533-position model. The record is from RNAcentral.
GACGAACGCUGGCGGCGUGCUUAACACAUGCAAGUCGAGCGGUAAGGCCCUUUCGGGGGUACACGAGCGGCGAACGGGUGAGUAACACGUGGGUGACCUGCCCUUAGCUCUGGGAUAAGCCUGGGAAGCUGGGUCUAAUACCGGAUAUGACUCCAUGACGCAUGUUGUGGGGUGGAAAGCCUUGUGCGGCUAGGGAUGGGCCCGCGGCCUAUCAGCUUGUUGGUGGGGUGANGGCCUACCAAGGCGACGACGGGUAGCCGGCCUGAGAGGGCGACCGGCCACACUGGGACUGAGACACGGCCCAGACUCCUACGGGAGGCAGCAGUGGGGAAUCUUGCGCAAUGGGCGAAAGCCUGACGCAGCGACGCCGCGUGGGGAUGACGGCCU